This 429-nucleotide ribosomal RNA is filed under the name Pseudomonadota bacterium. Its description in RNAcentral is "Proteobacteria bacterium partial 16S ribosomal RNA". It matches the Rfam family "Bacterial small subunit ribosomal RNA", at positions 355 to 776 of the family's 1533-position model. Lineage: Bacteria; Pseudomonadati; Pseudomonadota. The record is from RNAcentral.
UGGGGAAUAUUGGACAAUGGGCGAAAGCCUGAUCCAGCCAUGCCGCGUGUGUGAAGAAGGUCUUCGGAUUGUAAAGCACUUUAAGUUGGGAGGAAGGGCAGUAAGCGAAUACCUUGCUGUUUUGACGUUACCGACAGAAUAAGCACCGGCUAACUCUGUGCCAGCAGCCGCGGUAAUACAGAGGGUGCAAGCGUUAAUCGGAAUUACUGGGCGUAAAGCGCGCGUAGGUGGUUCGUUAAGUUGAAUGUGAAAGCCCCGGGCUCAACCUGGGAACUGCAUCCAAAACUGGCGAGCUAGGGUAGGGCAGAGGGUGGUGGAAUUUCAUGUGUAGCGGUGAAAUGCGUAGAUAUAGGAAGGAACACCAGUGGCGAAGGCGACCACCUGGGCUCAUACUGACACUGAGGUGCGAAAGCGUGGGGAGCAAACAGG